GACGAACGCUGGCGGCGUGCUUAACACAUGCAAGUCGAACGGGCCUGUCUUCUUUUUUGGGGGUGGGUUGAGUGGCGAACGGGUGAGUAUCACGUGAGUAACCAGCCCUUCGGUCCUGGAUAACCGCUUGAAAGGGCGGCUAAUACGGGGUGGUCCGGUUGGUCCGCAUGGGCUGGUCGGGAUAGAUUCACUGUUUUUGGUGUUUCGGCGGGGGAUGGGCUCGCGGCCUAUCAGCUUGUUGGUGGGGUGAUGGCCUACCAAGGCGGUGACGGGUAGCCGGCCUGAGAGGGUGGGCGGCCACACUGGGACUGGGAUACGGCCCAGACUCCUGCGGGAGGCAGCAGUGGGGGGUAUUGCACAAUGGGCGGAAGCCUGAUGCAGCGACGUCGCGUGAGGGAUGGAGGCCUUCGGGUUGUGAACCUCUGUUUCCGGUGGUGAAGGCCCUGUCCGUGUGGUGGGGUUGACGGUAGCCGGGGAUGAAGCGCCGGCUAACUACGUG
This 499-nucleotide ribosomal RNA is filed under the name uncultured bacterium. RNAcentral describes it as "partial 16S ribosomal RNA". It matches the Rfam family "Bacterial small subunit ribosomal RNA", at positions 28 to 507 of the family's 1533-position model. The record is from RNAcentral.